RNAcentral lists this ribosomal RNA (1235 nucleotides) under metagenome. Its description in RNAcentral is "bacterial LSU rRNA". It matches the Rfam family "Bacterial large subunit ribosomal RNA", at positions 1564 to 2808 of the family's 2925-position model. The record is from RNAcentral.
UGAUGACGAGACGCUAAGGCGUUGAAGCAGUGUAUGUCAGACUUCCAAGAAAAGCUCGCAAUGUCACAAAUAAAAGAUGCCUGUACCAUAACCGACACAGGUGGGUAGGUAGAGUAUACUAAGGGGCGCGAGAUAACUCUCUCUAAGGAACUCGGCAAAAUGACUCCGUAACUUCGGGAGAAGGAGUGCCUUAUUUAUAAGGUUGCAAUAACAAGAUCCAAGCAACUGUUUAUCAAAAACACAGGUCUCCGCUAAGUCGUAAGACGAUGUAUGGGGGCUGACGCCUGCCCAGUGCCAGAAGGUUAAAGAAGUUGGUUAGUGUAUGCGAAGCUGAUGACUGAAGCCCUGGUGAACGGCGGCCGUAACAAUAACGGUCCUAAGGUAGCGAAAUUCCUUGUCGGGUAAGUUCCGACCCGCACGAAAGGCGUAAUGAUUUGGAUACUGUCUCGGAGAGAGGCUCGGUGAAAUAGACUUGUCUGUGAAGAUGCGGACUACCUGCACCAGGACAGAAAGACCCUAUGAAGCUUUACUGUAACUUGAAAUUGGAAUUGGACUUUGCUUGCGCAGUAUAGGUGGGAAGCGUUGAAAAUAUUCUUGCGGGAGUAUUGGAGCUAUCAGUGAGAUACCACUCUUGUAAUGUUAGAUUUCUAACUUUGAACCAUAAUCUGGUCAAAGUACAGUUUCAGGUGGGCAGUUUGACUGGGGCGGUCGCCUCCCAAAUGGUAACGGAGGCGUACAAAGGUUUCCUCUGAACGGAUAGAAAUCGUAUCUAGAGUGUAAAGGCAUAAGGAAGCUUGACUGUGAGACCUACAAGUCGAGCAGGGACGAAAGUCGGUCUUAGUGAUCUGACGGUACUGAGUGGAAAGGCCGUCACUCAACGGAUAAAAGUUACUCUAAGGAUAACAGGCUGAUCUCCCCCAAGAGUUCACAUCGACGGGGAGGUUUGGCACCUCGAUGUCGGCUCAUCGCAUCCUGGGGCGGUAGUACGUCCCAAGGGUUGGGCUGUUCGCCCAUGAAAGCGGUACGCGAGCUGGGUUCAGAACGUCGUGAGACAGUUCGGUCCAUAUCCGGUGUAGGCGCUAGAAUAUUGAGAGGAGCCUUCUUUAGUACGAGAGGACCGAGAAGGACACACCGCUGGUGUACCAGUUAUCGUGCCAACGGUAAACGCUGGGUAGCUAAGUGUGGAGUGGAUAACCGCUGAAAGCAUCUAAGUGGGAAGCCCACCUCGAGAUGAG